AUUGAACGCUGGCGGCAGGCCUAACACAUGCAAGUCGAGCGGAUGAAGGGAGCUUGCUCCUGGAUUCAGCGGCGGACGGGUGAGUAAUGCCUAGGAAUCUGCCUGGUAGUGGGGGAUAACGUCCGGAAACGGGCGCUAAUCCCGCAUACGUCCUGAGGGAGAAAGUCGGGGAUCUUCGGACCUCACGCUAUCAGAUGAGCCUAGGUCGGAUUAGCUAGUUGGUGGGGUAAAGGCCUACCAAGGCGACGAUCCGUAACUGGUCUGAGAGGAUGAUCAGUCACACUGGAACUGAGACACGGUCCAGACUCCUACGGGAGGCAGCAGUGGGGAAUAUUGGACAAUGGGCGAAAGCCUGAUCCAGCCAUGCCGCGUGUGUGAAGAAGGUCUUCGGAUUGUAAAGCACUUUAAGUUGGGAGGAAGGGCAGUAAGUUAAUACCUUGCUGUUUUGACGUUACCAACAGAAUAAGCACCGGCUAACUUCGUG
This 484-nucleotide ribosomal RNA is filed under the name uncultured bacterium. RNAcentral describes it as "partial 16S ribosomal RNA". It matches the Rfam family "Bacterial small subunit ribosomal RNA", at positions 30 to 507 of the family's 1533-position model. The record is from RNAcentral.